This is a non-coding RNA of Paramuricea clavata, 2126 nucleotides long. Lineage: Eukaryota; Metazoa; Cnidaria; Anthozoa; Malacalcyonacea; Plexauridae. The record is from the annotation of a GenBank genome assembly.
UUGAAAUUCCUCUUGUUACAUAAUUGAAGUGCAAAACCUUUAACUCAAGAAUUUCUCAUUCGACUUCAGAGAUAUCUGGAUAUUAGUCUAUUUACCUGAUAUUGAUUCUGAAAUGAUUGACUUAUGGGUGAUAGCCACUUUAAACUUCAAUCCCAUAAGCCGGGAGUUGGGAACUUGACCCUAUACAGAGCUCUCACCCCAUGGUGAUCCCACGUGGUUAAAUUCUGAAUACUAAUGAAGGUAUUGACCACUGAUCUUAAAACUAGACUGGAUAGAGCAACUUUUUGAAUUCAGAGAAUUAAUUUUGAAACUGGAAUAUUUAUAAUGAGAAAAGAUUUUUAAAUCUGUCACAUUCCUUACGAAUAAAAUCGUUACGUGUUUAAAUUAGUUUCGUUCCAAGCAAAUGUCUUCUUCUACGUAACUUGAAAGAUAUAGCCACACUUCUUCUAAUGAGUUUGUUUAGAUCGUUUUAAACACGUGAUAAUGAGAUUUGAGGCGUGAAGGAACCGUCAGAGGCCACUAAUAACCAAUUUCUCUCUAGGCAAUAUUUUUUAUUUUUACCAAUCACCAGAAACUUUAAGAACGUCUUCUAGCAUGUCACCAACACCACUGUAGAUUUGCUAUGGUCACAUCAAUAUGGCCGUCGUUGGCUUCAUUUAUGCAUGUGGAUGCUCUAUCCAGUCUGGUUUUGAGAUCAGCGGUAUUGGCUCAAGUUGUAAAAUAGUGUAUGCAUUGUAUGCAUUAGUAAAUUUAGUAGCAUAAUUUUUGCCAUAAGCAGGAACGUCGCGAAUUAGGGGGUGUAACACUUAGGUGGAUGUUUAUUCUAAAAUUUUACGUUAAAUUUGAAUAAAAAUAUAUGCGGUGUUUUGGAAUGAUAACUUGUUCAAAAAGUAUUUGAAAGAAACGCAAUUCAAUCAUUUACAAUUUCGUUUCGAAAAAUACUAAAAAUACAGUGUUAGAGUUUCGAAAAUUACAAAAAAAUCCUUUGGGUCCCACAAUCAGCCACCGCUUGACCAUUUCCACACCUGAGGUCUGUUUCAUACUAGUGUCUGUAUUUAAAUUCGUACAAGAUGUUUCAUUCAUCUGUCAGUCAGAUAGAAAAAAAGUCUAUUGUGCAUUUUGUUUUCAUACGACAUACUGGUCGCCCAGUCGAAACAAAUGUGCUAUGUCUUAAUGUUUGAUUCUGUUUAAUAGCAAGGCAUGUUAUACAAUAUUACUUUCACGUUUGGAAUGAAAUAGAGCUUUGCUCAAUGAAUUUAAUAGCAAAUUUGUCUGAAUUUUGAUCCAAAGUAUGAACCAAGCCUCUGAAACGUAAUUGCAAUGUGAAUGAUAUAAUUGUCAAUGAAAAUGUAUGUGUGUUACACUACAUGACUGCGUUCGUGAAGUAAAUCCUCUAUUAAGCCCCAAUUUAUUUAUGGCACGUUUGAGGGGAUGUUUAUUGGAGAGGGAGGUAUAAUAGAAAGGGGGGACUUAUGAUCAUGAUUUAGAUAUCUAAACGUGGUAACCUAAAAUCUAACAUAAACGUCCAGGAUAAUUUGUCUAUAAAUCUAUUCGGUGAACAUGUGUUUAUAUAUGAAGGGGAUGGGGGAGGGUCGCUUGUAUUGGAGAAAAAAGUACUACUAAUUGAUGUAUUUAUAUGUGACUUAUUAGAGAUUGAUCAUUGGAGGGAAGCUUUUUUAGGAGGUGGGGGGUGGGGGGGGGGGUCUUAAUAGAGGAUUUGCGGUAACACACAACCCGAGUUUCGCGACGUCCCUUGCUGAAUGUUUGUAUAUAGUAUACUUUGCAUUAGAAAUCUAGUCUUAGGAGAAAAAUGCAGAAAUAGAUAUUUUAAAUUGACAGCAUAUACUUUGCUUGUAUUUAAAUUUGCGUGGUUCUAAUUUUCGCUCAGUCUUAAAUUCGUGCGAUUUAGUUUCGCACACCCGAAAAAGGCGAAAUGUGAUAUUUUAGUGCAGAUUUAACUUAAUCUGCGCGCUUGAUUAAAACGGUACUAACCGAGAAAAAGAACACGUGAAUGAUAGUUUUCAGUCCGUGCUAAAAUGACUGGGAACCUCAAUUUUUUACGAAAGUACAAUUGUUACUGAUUUUCGAGAAACCUGGAGUCGGUUGUAUAAAAAGAUAGUUAAAGU